CAAGCCAAGUGCUCACAGAGCAGCCCACAGAGGGCUGUGGGACAGUGAUGACCCUGUUGUGCCAGGUUUCAUGGAUGAAUUGGAUUUUUGAAAAGGUCAUUGUAAUGCAAUUCACAGAAGCUGUGAGUCCUUCAGUGCUACCCCCUUCAGCUUUGCCACUGGACCUGCUUAAUAAUGCUAUAACUGCCUUUAGUACCUUGGAAGACCUUAUUCGAUAUCUUGAACCAGAGAGAUGGCAGUUGGACUUAGAAGAUCUAUAUAAGCCAACUUGGCAACUUCUUGGCAAGGCUUUUGUUUUUGGAAGAAAAUCCAGAGUGGUGGAUCUGAACCUUCUAACAGAGGAGGUAAGAUUAUACAGCUGCACACCUCGUAACUUCUCAGUGUCCAUAAGGGAAGAACUAAAGAGAACCGAUACCAUUUUCUGGCCAGGUUGUCUCCUGGUUAAACGCUGUGGUGGGAACUGUGCCUGUUGUCUCCACAAUUGCAACGAAUGUCAAUGUGUUCCAAGCAAAGUUACUAAAAAA
RNAcentral lists this small RNA (524 nucleotides) under Pan troglodytes (chimpanzee). RNAcentral's name for it is "processed transcript". Lineage: Eukaryota; Metazoa; Chordata; Mammalia; Primates; Hominidae. The record is from RNAcentral.